UAGUUUCAGGUGUAGAAUUUAGUGAUUUAUCACUUACAUACAACACCCAGUGUUCAUCACAAGUGUGCUCCUGUUGAACCCAUCCUACCACCACCCCCACCUCCCUUCCAGCAACCCUGAAUUUGUUCUUUACAGAUUUCUGUGACUUCUCUGACUAAAAAGGAAUUCCCUGGGACCAUUUGGAGAAGCUCCACAUCACUGCACCAGCUCACCCUCUUCAGUGGAAAGCUGAAAGACAUUUCAGGGGUUUCAAUCCCACAUGAUUGAGGUGGGGUUCCCACAAUUAAUAGUUCUCAUCACAGAUGGUGCCUCCUUCCCAGAGGAUGAGCACAAACUAAUGGUUAUUAUGGCAGAAGAGAAGCAAAAGAGAUGCUUCAUGACUGGAGGGCUGAGUGUCACAGGAGGCAUGUGACAGAGGCAGCAUUGUGACAAGCUGGAUGAUGUCUCCUCACAAUUGGUAUGAAGCCUCUGCUUACACCUGGAGAAAGAGCAGUGAAGGCAGAAAGAAAGUCCAUAGCCUCGUGGAGCUGGCAGCUUCAGAGGAAAUGCAGGUGUUAAGGAGAUUAAAGAGCAGAGAUGGGGCAGCCCCGGUGGCGUAGCGGUUUGGCACCGCCUGCAGCCCGGAGUGUGAUCCUGGAGACCCGGGAUCGAGUCCCACGUCGGGCUCCCUGCGUGGAGCCUGCUUCUCCCUCUGCCUGUGUCUCUGCCUCUCUCUCUCUCGCUCUCUCUGAAUGAAUAAAUAUUUAAAUCUUAAAAAAAAAAAAAAGAGCAGAGAUGGCGUGCCACCUGAUAAUGCAGGUUCUGGAGUAGAACCAAGGAUGGAGGUGGGCCGGGAGACUGGGGGAACUCAGGGAGGGCCUCUCUGAGUGGCGGGUCACAUAAGCAGCGAGGGCACCUCAGGAAGAGCUCUGUGGAAUGAGGGAGACAACAGAAGGCAGCUGUGAAGUGGGCCUGGGGGCGGUGGGGGUACGAAUCAGCUGGCGGCCAGAUCUGGAGCGCAGAGGAGCAACCACAGCUGCAGCUGUAAGUGGGCAGGGUCCCUGGGGAGUGCCCUUGCUGAGUGAGAGAAGAUGUCCACGGCUGGGCAGAUUCGGGGGGCAACUCCAACAGGCCUGUUUGUGGUCCCUGUCAGGUGACUUUUGGACGGUUAGACAUCCCUCCAAGUCCUCCUGCUUCUGAGAUUCAUUUCCAGGCCUAAUAUGCUAUAAAUCCACCAUCGAAUCCAUCACCUCCUGCCGCUCAAGGCUGAAGUUCUUCAUUCCAGAUGAGCAACGUUAAUCCUCCAAUCCUUCCUGAAAAUUACACUGAAACUGGUUAACGGAGGCAUGGAAAGAGAUUCAAAACAAGAUAUAUCAUUUGUAUCAUCUCAUUCAGUUCUCAGUAUGGCCAUACAAGGUAGCAUCUGCUAUGAUUCCCAUUUGACAAAUGUGGAAACUGAGAUUCCAUUAGGUCCCUCAUUCCAGGUUCACCAGUCUCGAGCACAAGGGCCGAUACUCGUAGUGUUCUCCAGUGAAGACACUGCCGUGGGAUCCAGUGACCAGGCAACAGAGGCAUCCUUUCUCAGCUGUGUUGAAGUUCCAGGUGUACAACAUAGUGAUCCAGCUAUUCUGUACAUUAUUCAGUGCUCGUCAAGGUAAGGGUCCUCUUAAUCCCCAUCACCUAUUUCAGUGCUCGUCAAGGUAAGGGUCCUCUUAAUCCCCAUCACCUAUUUCACCUGUCCACCUGCCCACCUUCCCUCUGGGAUUCACCAGUUUGUUCUU
Canis lupus familiaris (dog) is the source of this 1760-nucleotide long non-coding RNA. RefSeq lists it as uncharacterized. The record is from RefSeq and is a predicted model, not a curated record. The transcript is spliced from 3 exons. NCBI's taxonomy places the organism in Eukaryota, Metazoa, Chordata, Mammalia, Carnivora, Canidae.